RNAcentral lists this ribosomal RNA (424 nucleotides) under Verrucomicrobiota bacterium. Its description in RNAcentral is "Verrucomicrobia bacterium partial 16S ribosomal RNA". It matches the Rfam family "Bacterial small subunit ribosomal RNA", at positions 355 to 776 of the family's 1533-position model. The record is from RNAcentral. Lineage: Bacteria; Pseudomonadati; Verrucomicrobiota.
UGAGGAAUAUUGGUCAAUGGACGAGAGUCUGAACCAGCCAAGUAGCGUGCAGGAUGACGGCCCUAUGGGUUGUAAACUGAUUUUGUUUGGGAAUAAUCGACAUUACGUGUAAUGUUUUGCAUGUACCAUUCGAAUAAGGACCGGCUAAUUUCGUGCCAGCAGCCGCGGUAAUCCGGAAGGUCCAGGCGUUACCCGGAUUUAUUGGGUUUAAAGGGAGUGUAGGCGGUUGGUUAAGCGUGUUGUGAAAUGUAGAUGCUCAACAUCUGACUUGCAGCGCGAACUGGCUGACUUGAGUACACACAACGUAGGCGGAAUUCAUGGUGUAGCGGUGAAAUGCUUAGAUAUCAUGAAGAACUCCGAUUGCGAAGGCAGCUUACGGGAGUGUUACUGACGCUUAAGCUCGAAGGUGCGGGUAUCGAACAGG